UCUGUGGCAACUGCCAAGCGAGUGUCCCUGGGCUGAAAAGCAACAAAGAGGAAGGAGGUGCUGGUGAGCCUGGAAAGUAUGAUUCUGUAGCACGGAAGGGCGACAUAGGGCCACGGGGUCCUCCAGGAUUCCCAGGCAGAGAGGGCCCAAAGGGAACCAAAGGAGAGCGGGGCUACCCUGGAAUACCUGGGGAGAAAGGUGAUGAGGGUCUUCAAGGAAUUCCAGGCACUCCAGGUGCACCAGGCCCUACUGGACCCCCUGGCUUAUUGGGACGAACUGGACAUCCUGGUCCUGCAGGAG
Tupaia belangeri chinensis (Chinese tree shrew) is the source of this 300-nucleotide long non-coding RNA. RefSeq lists it as uncharacterized. The transcript is spliced from 5 exons. Lineage: Eukaryota; Metazoa; Chordata; Mammalia; Scandentia; Tupaiidae. The record is from RefSeq and is a predicted model, not a curated record.